RNAcentral lists this non-coding RNA (119 nucleotides) under Clostridium sp. Its description in RNAcentral is "SAM-I sequence". It matches the Rfam family "SAM riboswitch aptamer (S box leader)". From Rfam's summary of the family: The SAM riboswitch is found upstream of a number of genes which code for proteins involved in methionine or cysteine biosynthesis in Gram-positive bacteria. Lineage: Bacteria; Bacillati; Bacillota; Clostridia; Eubacteriales; Clostridiaceae. RNAcentral also lists the same sequence under 1 other name. The record is from RNAcentral.
AUUUUAUCAAGAAAGACGGAGGGACUGGCCCUAGGAUGUCUGGCAACCUGGAUUGAAAGGUAAUAUGCUUUUAAUUUAAGGUGCUAAUUCCUGCAGAUGUUAAAUCUGAAAGAUAAGUA